UUAAUGCACUUUGAAGCCUCCUUUGGCUAGUUUGGGUUUAUUUUUUUGUAGCAAAAGAGCUCUAGUAAAAGUGAUCCCAUUGUACCCGCUCCUCGCUGAGUGAAGGCUAUGACAGCAGCACAUGUGCCAGCACUUGGGUCUUAGGAUCUGACCAGCAGAGCAGAAAAGCUGUGAGCAGCGGAUACAAACCACUGAGCUGGUGCAAACUCCCUCUGCCAGGACAUAGCUGACACUGAUUUGAGUCCACAUCAAAGCUGGGUCAGCUGGCAGAAGGAGGGGAGUAGACAUACAGGUAUUGGGAUCAUUGUGAGGAUGGCACACCUGCUCCAGGGACAGGAUACAGUCAGUACAGCUCAGCAGCUACAAAGCCGAUGGCAUUCUUGUGAAAUUUAGAAAGAACUUGGAAGUCACACCUCUGGAGACAAUAUGGCAAGACAGACUGCCAGCUAAUUUUUCGCUCUGAAGGGCACGUUGCCUUGCUCCAGCACCGCUCCCGGAGCUUUGGAGUGGGAAGACCGGGGGAAUUCACACCGACCGAGCGACGCUGUGCCGGCAAGGGGGCGGCUGAUCGCAGAAGAAAUCUCAGCGGUGUCACCGAAGACUUGUCCUUUUCCUCCAGCUCAAAAGCCCGGGGGAGAAGGAGCCUCCCCCAGCGGACCUCCGGCCAGGCACCCCAACCACGGCAAGAGCUGGGGGGGGCCUCCCCCCGACCCCGGCCUCCCUCCAGCCUCCCCUCAGCCUCCCCUCAGCCUCCCCAAGGGCUGCGGGCGCCCUGCGGG
Cygnus olor (mute swan) is the source of this 779-nucleotide long non-coding RNA. RefSeq lists it as uncharacterized. The transcript is spliced from 3 exons. NCBI's taxonomy places the organism in Eukaryota, Metazoa, Chordata, Aves, Anseriformes, Anatidae. The record is from RefSeq and is a predicted model, not a curated record.